UGGGGAAUAUUGCACAAUGGGCGCAAGCCUGAUGCAGCCAUGCCGCGUGUAUGAAGAAGGCCUUCGGGUUGUAAAGUACUUUCAGCGGGGAGGAAGGUGUUGAGGCUAAUAACCCCAGCAAUUGACGUUACCCGCAGAAGAAGCACCGGCUAACUCCGUGCCAGCAGCCGCGGUAAUACGGAGGGUGCAAGCGUUAAUCGGAAUUACUGGGCGUAAAGCGCACGCAGGCGGUCUGUCAAGUCGGAUGUGAAAUCCCCGGGCUCAACCUGGGAACUGCAUUCGAAACUGGCAGGCUAGAGUCUUGUAGAGGGGGGUAGAAUUCCAGGUGUAGCGGUGAAAUGCGUAGAGAUCUGGAGGAAUACCGGUGGCGAAGGCGGCCCCCUGGACAAAGACUGACGCUCAGGUGCGAAAGCGUGGGGAGCAAACA
Molecule: ribosomal RNA, 427 nt
Filed under: uncultured bacterium
Lineage: Bacteria
Description: partial 16S ribosomal RNA
Rfam family: Bacterial small subunit ribosomal RNA
Source: RNAcentral